This is a long non-coding RNA of Phasianus colchicus (ring-necked pheasant), 1910 nucleotides long. The record is from Ensembl. NCBI's taxonomy places the organism in Eukaryota, Metazoa, Chordata, Aves, Galliformes, Phasianidae.
AUUUGGAGAUACUGGAUCCACCCGCUGACUGCUUCCAGUGUUUUUUUCACUAAUAUGCCAAGAGCAACAUUCCAACUAAUCACCUUAAUGGAAAUUAGAGAGGAAAAUGGUCUAUCAGGCCAUCUAAUCUAUCCUCACUCAGAAGAAUUUUCAUACAUUUUCCUGUCCAGCUUUAAAUUCAAAAAACAAUCCAUGAGAAUUACCCUGCAGACUUGAGAGGCUGUUAUACUCCCAAAGCUCAGAAGAGAGAGGCAAUGUUAAUAAGGGUUGCUAAAAAUGUUUUCUGAUGAUCAAGUGCAUAUUCGUUCUGGAGGUCUGAUUUUAACCCAUAGCUUUAUGAUGAACAUCCCUCUGACAGCUUAAACAUGUGUUCUCUGCUCUCCAUCCAUACACCUGUCAGCACGACCCUACCAGGUUCUUAAUGCCUUUUUUAUGUUCCCUUACAGAAGGUUAACAGAGAAGUGCAGUUUAGGGCCUCGUUCUAUGCAGGAACAUGACUACUUAAUUAUGUCCAAAUUCUUGCUUUUUUUUUUGCUUUUUUUUUUUUUUUUCCUUCCCAUUUAGGCACAGCGAUGACUGAUUUUUUUCUCUGAAGCGAUUGGAGAAGCUGGAAUUUUCUUUGGUUUGGCCCCAAUAGGCAUUCAGUGCUGUUUGUCAGACCUUCAUGCUGGACAGGUGUACCCAUCACAGAACAAGCACACGGUGUGACAGCACAUGGGAGCUCUCUGGGGCAGGUUGUAAGCAUAGUCUCCAAGCAUUUGCCAGUGCUACAGACUUCAGGCUUUGCUUUACAAACACAACUUGUGGAACCAAGCAAAGGACAAGCAGAAAACAGCCCGUGUCCUCAGCCUCACAGUGCAUGGAUACCUCUUGUAACUUCCUUCCUCUGAAGUCCCAACUGAGCACAAAAAGUAAUGGAGGAACCUUCUUCAGAGAAGAACAAACCUAAACUUAAUGGCAAUGCGCAUCUCUCACCUAGUAUAUCUUCAUGGUUUAAAAUGGAAGUGCUGAAAAGAGUACACGCUGGGUCUGCUCUCCUGACCGUGUCACCUUAGCAAACUUCUCCUCGUGAGCUGUUUAAACCUUCAAGCUUGCUUGUAUUUGCUAUGGGAAUGAAUAGGAUUGCAGGAGCUUUAGCACGCAGCAGAGGCUCGUGGGCUAGCAGCUUUUGAGGUUAUACCCAUGAGUGCUCGAGCAGAGCUGGCACAGCUAAUUCCUCUGUCUGCAGAGGGUGAAGUGAAGGCAGAGGGAAGCUGAGUGUUCAGUGCUGAUGGUCACGGAGGGAGCCAGAGACACGGCCGAGGCUGAAUCCGAAGGCUCUCAAUGUGCUGUCAGAGAACAAAUAGUAUUUCCUCUUAAUUCACUGUUUUCCCUCAUGAAAAGAAUCAUGUCUCAUGGUUUUCUCUCCCCAUUGUUCCUAUGACUCACAUAAGCCACGGGCAUGAUACAGGCAAUGAAGCUUUGCAUUAAUCUACUGUCCAGAUUGAUAACUCUAAGGAGCAGCUCAUAAUGACCAAAAUGUGAUUAAUCAUGAUACACGUGUGAUACCCAUGCUCAUUAUUACUGGCCUCCAGAACAGUGCUGCUGAUUCCUGCCAAUAUGCUCAUUUUCAUAUCUGGAAGAGACAAUACUGUAAUUACUGCCAAAGUAUGCAGGAAAAUUAAGCAGCAGCUCGGUCUGCGUUCUGCAUCAGGCUAGUGAGGAGGAGUAUAGAAAAGCAUGGGAAUCAACAGCUACAAGGAAUAACAAGUAUUUUCUGUGUAUACUUUAUUUUAAAUAGAUGUUGUCUGACGCAGCCAUUUAGUUUGAACUGUUGCCCUGCAGAAUUCUUUCUGGAAGAGGAGAGUGUAGGGCAUGUUGGACACAACAGCAGGAUUAAAAAAAAAAAAAGGAGCUGAUGAAGCAUAUUU